This is a long non-coding RNA of Lutra lutra (Eurasian river otter), 481 nucleotides long. RefSeq lists it as uncharacterized. The transcript is spliced from 3 exons. Lineage: Eukaryota; Metazoa; Chordata; Mammalia; Carnivora; Mustelidae. The record is from RefSeq and is a predicted model, not a curated record.
GAUCAGAAGUAAUUUCCUUCCUUCUCGAUGCCUCUACUUUGGGAAAUCGAGUAGGAGAAUAUAAGAGGCUGGACAGGAAAGGAGAAAAGAAGAAACACUGGUGCUGAGAAAAUUUUGUCAAUGAAUGAAUCAGGAGAACUGCAAGACCUCUUAACCAAAAUUGAGAGAGUACAGCAUCCACAUGAGUGCCCCUCCUGUGGAGGCUUUGGCUUUCUUCCGUGCUCCGUCUGCCACGGGAGCAAGAUGUCAGUGUUUCGAAACUGCUUUACAGACUCUUUCAAAGCUCUGAAGUGUACUGUCUGCAACGAGAAUGGUCUUCAGCGCUGUAAGAGCUGUGUUGGUUAGGUGGACCUCCCACCGGGGGAGCACCUCGAUUUAUUAACCAAAGUCAGUUGUAUGGUUUAUACUUUUUUUUUAAAGGUCAUGUUUAUGGACUAAUCAAUAAACUUUGUUUAUUGUAAUUGCCUUUGUUUUGAAUUUU